AGGGAGUUUGAUCCUGGCUCAGGAUGAACGCUGGCGGCGUGCCUAACACAUGCAAGUCGAACGAAGCAUAUUUAACGGAGAUUCGUCGAAGCUGGAUAUGACUUAGUGGCGGACGGGUGAGUAAUGUAUGAGCAACCUGCCUUUCAGAGGGGGACAACAGUUGGAAACGACUGCUAAUACCGCAUAACGUAUUUGGGUGGCAUCACCUGGAUACCAAAGGAGCAAUCCGCUGAAAGAUGGGCUCAUAUCUGAUUAGCUUGUUGGCGGGGUAACGGCCCACCAAGGCGACGAUCAGUAGCCGGACUGAGAGGUUGAACGGCCACAUUGGGACUGAGAUACGGCCCAGACUCCUACGGGAGGCAGCAGUGGGGAAUAUUGGGCAAUGGGCGAAAGCCUGACCCAGCAACGCCGCGUGAAGGAAGAAGGUCUUCGGAUUGUAAACUUCUUUUAUGAGGGACGAAGGACGUGACGGUACCUCAUGAAUAAGCCACGGCUAACUACGUGCCAGCAGCCGCGGUAAUACGUAGGUGGCGAGCGUUAUCCGGAUUUACUGGGUGUAAAGGGCGCGUAGGCGGGGAUGCAAGUCAGAUGUGAAAUCUAUGGGCUUAACUCAUAAACUGCAUUUGAAACUGUAUUUCUUGAGUGCUGGAGAGGUAGACGGAAUUCCUUGUGUAGCGGUGAAAUGCGUAGAUAUAAGGAAGAACACCAGUGGCGAAGGCGGUCUACUGGACAGUAACUGACGCUGAGGCGCGAAAGCGUGGGGAGCAAACAGGAUUAGAUACCCUGGUAGUCCCCU
RNAcentral lists this ribosomal RNA (796 nucleotides) under uncultured Bacillota bacterium. RNAcentral describes it as "bacterial SSU rRNA". It matches the Rfam family "Bacterial small subunit ribosomal RNA", at positions 1 to 799 of the family's 1533-position model. The record is from RNAcentral. Lineage: Bacteria; Bacillati; Bacillota.